Molecule: long non-coding RNA, 8486 nt
Filed under: Sus scrofa (pig)
Lineage: Eukaryota; Metazoa; Chordata; Mammalia; Artiodactyla; Suidae
Description: lncRNA (ENSSSCG00015032977.1)
Source: RNAcentral
GGCAUAUGGAGGUUCCCAGGCUAGGGGUCCAAUUGGAGCUACAGCUGCCGGCCUACACCACAGCUACAGCAAUGCAGGAUCGGAGCCCUGUCUGCGACCUAUACCACCGCUCAUGGCAACACCGGAUCCUUAACCCACUGACCACGGCCAAGGAUUGAACCCUCAACCUCAUGGAUCCGACUUGGGUUCGUUAACCACUGAGCCCCGAAGGGAACUCCCAAUAAUUAACUUUUUGUGUUUCAAUUUUCUUACUAGCAGAGAGGGGAACGACAAAUAAAUCAGACUCCUGCAGAGGUUUUAGCAUUAAAUGGGAGGAGGCAUUUAAAGGGUUUGGCUCUUAGCAAAUGUUCACGAUUCUUCCUCCUCCUCUACUACUUACAUUUUAGGAUGGUGACUUAUUCAAUAGGAUGAUAUGCCAAAGAUCCAGAGGUCGACAGAAGUACAGAAUGAAGAAUCAGCCAUAGGCUCACUAUCAGAUCUCAUUUCAGUUGGGAAAUUUCAGUUGUGAUUCUGUGUUCCCAUCAGUAAAGUGGGCUCAAGACUGGGACUUUGUGAUAAUAAAUGGAAGCCUCCCAGCCUUUUCCACUGUGGUGCCACAGGCCUUUCUUGAUUUCCAGGCCCCGCCAAAUUUGCCAACCACUUGCCUAACCAAAUACAAACACACACACAAUGGAAAUUGAUUCAGAACUCAGAGUUAGAAAGGAGGGUCGGUGACACGCCCUCUCCAUCUCCUUGCUGAGUUUAAGGCACUUUCCAAUCUCCAGAGGACAGAUUCUGGUCUCUUCUUUUUGGGUGAAAGCCUGGAGAGUGGGGGUAUGAUUUCCUGACAUGAAUUUACACUGCAGGAAAGCUGUGUGAUCUAUUGCAGCAGGAUUUUCCCACUGUCUCAACGAGUAACUUGGAGGCAGUAACUGGAAAGGGCCCUAUGCAGAGGGGAUGGCCCACCCUCUCCCACCAAUGUGGCUCAGGUCCCUGCCUUCCCAAAACAAAGAGACUGGGCGGUUUUCAGGCAGGCCCCACACUGUUGGUGUGUGUGGUUCAGCCCCCUUCAGGGCGGCUGAUUUGUGAAUGCGCUGAACUCCAGUGCACCAGGCCACCUAACCACAGAGAGCAGUGUUUUGUUUCUCUACCGGAUACACCUGCCCAAAAAGCAGCGUUCACUCCUGCUGCAGGCUUGGGUUUGUUUGACUUUUGAAAGAUUGCACCCUCCAGAUAAACCAGAGGGUACAACUGUGUGCACUGAGAACCCGCGGAGGCUGAAAAGGAGUGAAAUUGAUUUUUUUCUUUUCUUUGGGGGGCAAGGGACAAUUGUAUAAAAUUGUUUUUCCAUCCAAAGGAGCAUUCUCCACUUUCCUGGUAGUCAUUAUUUCCCAAAGCAUACCACCAGAAGGGUUUUAGGAAUGGGCAGACACAGCGUUAAAGAGCACUGAGUCACAGACCGAGAAACUUAGUCCCUUUUUAAUUUUUUUUCAAUCUUUCUGGUUUUGUCAGGAAAAAAUAUAUAUCUUCGUGGAGUUGCAUCGUGGCGCAGCAGAAAUGAAUCAACUAGAAACCACGAGGUUUCGGGAUGGAUCCCUGGCUUCGCUCAGUGGGUUAAGGAUCCAGUGUUGCUGUGAGUUGUGGUGUAGGUCACAGACGUGGCUUGGAUCUGGCAUUGCUGUGGCUGUGGCAUAGGCCUGCAGCUGUAGCUCCGAUUGGACCCCUAGCCUGGGAACCUCCAUAUGCCAAGGGUGCGACCCUAAAAAAGAAAAAAAAAAGUCUUCAUUUGAAGCUAGUAUUUCUUUAAUAUCUAACACUUGCUCAUCUCCCUUUAAACACACACACACACACACACACACACACACACACAGAGUACAGACCUCAGAUUUGAAGUCUUUUGUUAGCUGCAAUAGCUACUUAAUUGUUAUAAUGUGGUCUGGAUAAAAUUUGAUAAUACUGUUUUGUUUUUGCUGUGAUAAUUUUUAGGAUGAUCUUUAAUUUAUGGCAGGGGAUAGCAGUUUCCCAUUGAUUUUAGGGCUAUUAUGUUUCCUUUUCAAAGAAAUAUAUUCAGGUUUUAAGAAUCAGUUAAAGAAAAAUAUUAAGUAAACAAUUGUACAUGUGCCAUUCAUCAAUAAGUCAUGGGGAUGCUCUGUGUGUGUCUGGGUGUGGUAGAAACUGGGAAGGGAGUGCACAAACAUCUGACACAUGGGCAAUGGGGCCUUGGAGUCGGACAAACCAGGGUUUGAAUCACUCUGUACCACCUACUACAUGUAUAACCUUGAGCAACUACUUAAUUUAGCUCCACAUCUGUAAAAUCAGGAGCAUGGCAGGUCAUUACUCACCUUGGAUUUUAUGAAGACACGCCACGUAAAGCUGUAAUGCAUGGUCCUCCAACACACUCAAGAAAGUCAGCUGUCAUCACCGCCAGGAAACUGCUUGUGUAAGCACAGUGCCUGGCACAUAACACACACACAGUGAAGUGUAACUGCUCCUGUAAUUGCUGUCUGUAUCAUCAGUGUCACCUAUUAGUUUGGGUCAGCUUUGAGGAGGAUAAGAAGAAGCAAUUAAAUGUGCAAGGGGUGUUUGAGGCGGAAAUCCUGGGCAGGGUACAGGAGGAGGAAGCAGGAGAAAGUGGGGAGAGAAUUUCCGACACCUGUGAAAGGAAAGGGGCUGGGGCUGGAGGAGUCUCAGACAGCAGUGCAGAUAUAGGAAAGAUUUGGCCCCACCGAUGAGGAAUUGUGGAGCCGAAGUGGACCCCUGGAGAAGGGAGCAACUCACAGAAGUCUGGUCCUCAGGUGAACAUGGUGGUGAAUCCAGAGGACAGCAUCUGGGUCCCUUGUGCCCCCCAUAGCUGGAGACCUUAGCAGCACAUUUCGUAGCUGCUGCACACAUCAUCUCCCACUUACUCGUGGAAAAGGAGCCUGAGUGUUUUCUCCUAUUCAUUUAUCUGGUUAACCAACACCUGGUCAGUACAACACAGAGAAGGAUUAAAAUGAUCCACACCUGCCCGUGAAAUAUACUUGGUCAACUCAUGAUUUUCUUGCCUCAGUGCCAAGCCAAACACAUUCCUUACUUUAAAGAGUUUAUCUUGAUCACAAUUCUUUACUAACUUUUAGCUCUAAUUUUGGGUUUCAAAAGGUUUGCAUUUCAGGCAGAGAGUGAAGUGCAAUUGACACUUUCAUGCAAAUUGAAUCUAACAAAGAGCCUCAAAUGUCAAUCCGCAGAUGUGUUUGGCUCACACCAUUUAAAAAAAAAAAAAUUGAGCCAAUCUUUUAAAAUUGGGAAAUGUCAUAUUUAAAAAAACAAAAAUUGUUGAUUUUAGGCUUCUCUUGAAAAACCACAGAUCUGGAUCACUGAGCCUGAAUAUCUGCGUGACAGUAUUAUCUAGGCUGAAAGUGUCUGCCCCUUGAAGUGGGGCUCUCCUCACUUUUUUUUCUUUUUUAGGUGGCCGCACCUGCUGCGUAUGGAAGUUACUGAGCUAGGGGUUGAGCCACAGCCACUGUGGAAGCAACGCCAAGUAGUUAUGUUGUGAGCCACAUGGGAAGUCCUGGGGCUCUCCUCUUUGAUUUGGGAGUUACCACGCACAUAAAAUAUGCAUAAGCCCUUAUACUCAGCCGGCUUCACUGAUUUAUAGUCCUGUCUGAGCCUUUGUGCAGAGAAUGCUAACCGUGCCUCAAUAUUACAUUCUCCCCUUCUUCUUUGGUAAUGUUCCAGCUGGACUCAGGGCAGCCCAUCUAGGACUACAUUUCCCAGCCUCCCUCGCAGCUAGGUGUGAUCAUGUGACUAAGUUCAAACCAAUGGUAGGAAAAUGGAAUUGAGGUUUAGAACUUCCAGACUGCCUUGAAAGGAAAGCAGUUUCUUUUCUUCUUUUCAGCUGGAAAGUGGAUAUGAUGGCGGGAGCUGAAGCAGCCAUCUGACAUCACAGGAUGGAAGCUAUGUUUCCAGAAUAGCAGAGCAAAUAAGAGGAAACUGGGUCUCCAGCAUCAAGGAGUUACAUACCAACUCUGGAAAACCGAUGCUCAGACUUGUAUCAGGAAAAUUAACUUCCCAUUCUCAUGUCUCUUUUUUUCAGCAGCCUCAAUUGUAUCUUUUUUCUUUCUUUCUUUCUUUUCAGGGCUGUACCUGCAGCAUAUGGAAGUUCCAAGGCUAGGAGUCGAAUGGGAGCUUCAACUGCCAGCCUCAGCCAUAGCCACAGCAAUGCCAGAUCCUAGACAAGUCUGAGAUGUACACUGCAGCACACAGCAAUGCUGAAUCCUUAACCCACUGCCUGGGGCCAGGGUUCAAACCAGCAUCCUCAUGGAUACUAGUCGGAUUCAUUACUGCUGAGCCAUAACAGGAAUUCCUCAACUGUAUCUUAACUAAUAAAUCCCUAUUUGCAACUGAGUCUGUGGCCCUUGGCUUAAUUGGAAUUGAAGUAUAAAGGAAAAACAAUUUAUAAUUUGCAAGUUAUUUUUCCACGUAAACGGGACCUAUGUGGCCAGCAUCAAAUGGCAAAGCAAAUUGCACUGACAACUGAGAGGAGGCAUAAUUGUCAUUAUAGUUAAAGCAGUAUUGGAAGACCCUGGCCAUAUCUCUCAGGCUCUGUUUGUAGGUGGUGCAAUUUUCUGGCUGUGGAUGGUUUGUCUACGUGACUCCUGAGGGGCUGCUAUUGCCACAGCAACAUGUCUGGGGUCCACAGGCCACACUCUCUUCUCUUCUUCAUCUUUGAAGGCCACACUUAAGCAGGCAGCCCUCCCACGUUUUCUCGGCACUGACCACUGAGUUGAAGAGAAGUAGAAACUUCUCGGUUGGUAUUGUUCUGACUCCUAGGGGUCCAAGAGAGGCUCCCUGGUACUGAGCAUGAAACAAUUGGGGAUCCUCACAGUUUCAAUCUGAUCAGAACCCGCUGUACUAGAGGAGGGUAAAGGUCAGUUAUGAAAAUGAUCUAUGAUAAAAAAAGAACCUACUAAUUCCCCAGAGGCAGGUGCCAAAAAUGACAUGUUAUUGUGUUCUUUAGAAUGAUGAAGGAGAGUAUUGAAUGAGAUUUGGGUAAUAAUAAUGCCAAACUGUUUAGCUUGCCUGUGACAGAGCUCCCCAAACCAGUACUAUUUGGGGAAAUAGCAGGAGAACAGAAAAAACAAUUAAUGAGCACUUGAUGUGCCAUAAAUGUUAUGUAUGUUUUCUCAUGUAAUUAUCUCAAAAAUCCUAUGAGAUAGUAUAACUGCUUUUUUUUUUAAUUUUCUUAAAGCAGACAUGCUAAGAAAAGUUAAUGUGACAAAGAUCACACAGGAAGUAAAAAGCCUGGAUUUGGACACUCGAGUGACUGAUCUACAUUCCAUAUCAUGCAGUCUCAUGGAUGUGCUAAGGCUGGCCUGAUCAGAAGAAGGAGGCAUGGACAAAACUGCAGAGAAUAGAGGUAUCUGGGUGAGGAUGGCAGCCAGUAAUAGAUUCAGGAAAACAAGAAAAGAAAGUGGGAGAGAGACAUGUUGAAAAGACUGUACACCUGCAUGAGAUCAUCUUAAGGCCCCUACACGGUACAGAUCAAGAUGCAUGCAACUCUCUGGUCCCUGAGGAAGAAGGGAUUCUGGAAGAGCAAGGUGGUAGAUACACAUGGGGAGGGAUUACCCGGCAGCGAGAUGAGAUAAAUCUGAAAAGAUAAAUUUUACUAUGCUCUUUACAUUGAAGGAUAUUGCUGAUUAAUUGAUGGGUAUGAUUUGGAGUAGAGAAGGAAUUACAAAUUAAUACUUUGCCAGACAGAGGCGUUACCUUUUCUGCUUAUUUAAAUAAAUAUGCUUUUGCCAUUUCUGGAAAGUUUUUCUUUGAUAUGUAUAACCAGGUUAUUCUUUUAGAUAGAUGACUCUGUCCAUCCAUACUGUUCUGCAAGAUCAAAGGGAAAACAAUCCCCAAAGCUAUGUUCUGAGACAAGUAAUGCCAUCAAGCAUCAAGCAGGAUUGUAUCAACUUUCCUUUUUUAAAUUAUCUCUUAGCGUCUGCCUCUUCAGAGAAAAGUUCAUCUUUAUUUUCAUUUCGUGGUAAAAUAUUUUCUAACAGCAUCAGUGAAACCCCAUUCAAAGUCAAUGACCAGCUUUUGAGACAUAAGACACGUGCCAAGUCUGUUUGGCACAAAGUAACUACUAACAGAUUUAAUAUAUUUCUUUCUUGCUCAGCCAUUGACAGGUGUCUGACAGCUCCCCACUCCCUCAGCCUCAAGUCAAUUAGUAAGAUGGAUAAAAUCCUCAGAAAGGGGGAAGUUAUCUAAGAUGUAGCUGUUUACGCUUCAUUGGUGGUGGGCAGACAGGCUGAGGUCCGAGAUAUCUCCAUUGAGGCUGUCACGAAACGUCCUCUUCCUGGGGUCAAUUGAGUUCUUUCUACAGAAUGAGUCUCAGAUGACUGAAUGCCACUCUCCAGACAGGAGCGGGGAAGGAUACAAAACAGAAAUAUUGAAGUGAAAAAAUGCAUCAAAUACACCUAAUCUUUUUCUUUAUUUAAUUAUUUUUAUUUUUUCCAUUAUCGCUGGUUUACAGUGUUCUGUCAGUUUCCACUGUACACCAAAGUGACCCAGUCACACACAUAUAUACACUCUUUGUCUCACAUUAUCCUCCAUCCUGUUCCAUCAUAAGUGACUGGGUAUAGUUGCCUGUGCUAUACAGCAGGAUCUCAUUGCUUAUCCCCUCCAGUUGCUAUAGUUUGCAGCUAUUAAUCCCAGACUCUCAGUCCAUCCCACUCCCUCCUCCUCGGCAACCACAAGUCUGUUCUCCAAGUCCAUGAGUUUCUUUUCUGUGGAAAGAUUCAUUUGUGCUGAAAUACACCUAAUCGUAGUUUAGCCUAGCCUAUCUUAAAAGUGCUCGGAACCCUUAUAUUAGCCUGGAGUAGGGCAAAAUCAUCUAACACAAAGCCUACUUUAUAAUAAAAGUGCUGAAUAUCUCAUGUAAUUGAAUACUGCACUGAAAGUGAAAAGCAGAAUGGCUGUACUAGGUACAGAGCAAUUACCAGCAUCAUGAGAGACGAGUGGACCACAUAUCAUGAGCCUGGAAAAGAUCAAAAUUCAAAAUUUGAAAUUACAGUUUCUACUGGAUGGGUAUCACUUUUGCAACACUGCAAAGUCGAAAAAUCAUAACUUGAACCAUCAUAAGUCCAAGACGGUCUGCAGUUGGGAGCUGGAAAAUACGUUGCCUCCCCAAAGCUCUCUGUCUUACGUCUCCCGCCUGCCUUGCACUGGAUGAAAAACAGAAAUGCAGCCCUCGGUGCCAUGGACAAUGGUUCCCCAUCGCUGUGACCCUGGCCUUGUGGGAAGGAAGUGAAAAUAAUUUGGGCAAAAACAUGUCCUGUCUGUCCUGUCCGUUCUUCCUGUGGGGCCCCCCCGGGUAGAAGCAAAGGGUUUUGCAUGUCAGGCUAGAAUAUUAGGGAAAGAGGAAACAGUGUCUAAAGUGAGAUUGGGGGGUCAGAGAUAGUUCAAAAUGUAACGAUUUCCUUUUGCUUUAGGAACUGCUCUUUUCCUCUCCCCUUUCUUUUCUUUUCUUUUUUAAAGUGAAGUUUCCAAGGAGAAAAGGCAGUAUUUGCCAAAUGCUACAAUGUACUUUGCACUGAUUGGGCUCAGGACAUGAAGGCCCAGCUUUACUCUGGCAGUAAUUUAAAAUAAUAAUAGUGGUAGGGUACUUUACCACUAGGCUUUAGGUUGCUCGUUUAACGCUGCAAUAACCCUGUGAGAUGGGAAUUGUCAUCCUCUCUGCUGGGUGAGGAAGUGGAAGCUCAGAAAGGAUGAACGGCUUGUCCUCGGUGACUCGGCUGGUAAGUGGCAGAGUCUGGGUUUUCUCUUUCUACCACGCCUGUCCCUGUAAUUCUCAGGUGUGAGCAGUCACUUUAGAUACAUUUAAGGUUUUUAUUAGCAGUGAUCCUCCUGACUCCGUGUUAUUGGCGUGAAAUACACGCUACUCUGCUUCCCACAGGGGUGUGGUUAAGCUCCCCAGAAGCUUUGGUUCUUCCUCUCUCCUGGUGCAUCCAGAACUACCAACAGCUGGAUUUCUUUGUCAUCACUUUAUUUUUUUUUUCCUUUUUAGGGGUGCCCCCCGGUGCAUAUGGAGGUUCCCAGGCUAGGGGUCGAAUCAGAGCAACAGCUGCUGGCCUCCAAUACAGCCACAGCAACAUGGGAUCCGAGCCGCAUCUGUGACCUACACCACAAAUCAUGAGAACGCCGGAUCCUUAACCGACUGAGCAGGGCCAGGGAUAGAACCUGCAUCCUCAAGGAUCCUAGUCGGGUUUGUUAACUGCUGAGCUACGGAGGAACGCCUGUCAUCACUUUAGAAGUGAUAAAAUUCCUCAAAGGGAAUUUUAUUCCCGGUGUGGAGUUGGCAGCCUUUAUUCAUAGGAAUGCAUUGCGGGGUGUUCGGUUUUGGUGAGAGAGAGACAUUGUAAAAAUUGAAGACAAAGAAGAAAUGGAGGAAGUGAGGCUGGAGGGGAAAGGUUCAUGUAGGUUGGGAGUCUUGGCUCUUCUUUAGCCACAGGCUCUUUAGCUUUAGGGGUCUCUGCCUU